GACGAACGCUGGCGGCGUGCCUAACACAUGCAAGUCGAACGGGGUAGCAAUACCCAGUGGCGGACGGGUGCGUAACACGUGAGGAACAUGUCUUUCGGCGGGAAGUAGCCGGCCUAACGGCCGGGUAAUACCGCGUACGACGAUUGGGGCGCAUGCCUUGAUCGUGAAAGCAGCAAUGCACCGAUAGAGUGCCUCGCGGCCUAUCAGCUAGUUGGUGAGGUAAUGGCCACCAAGGCGACGACGGGUAGCUGGUCUGAGAGGAUGAUCAGCCACAUUGGGACUGAGACACGGCCCAGACCUCCGUACGGGAGGC
Molecule: ribosomal RNA, 313 nt
Filed under: uncultured bacterium
Lineage: Bacteria
Description: bacterial SSU rRNA
Rfam family: Bacterial small subunit ribosomal RNA
Source: RNAcentral